GGGGAUUUAGCUCAGUCGUAGAGCACUUGCCUAGCAAGCACAAGGCCCUGGGUUCGGUCCCCAGCUCCG
RNAcentral lists this transfer RNA (69 nucleotides) under Rattus norvegicus (Norway rat). It matches the Rfam family "tRNA". Rfam says of the family: Transfer RNA (tRNA) molecules are approximately 80 nucleotides in length. Their secondary structure includes four short double-helical elements and three loops (D, anti-codon, and T loops). Further hydrogen bonds mediate the characteristic L-shaped molecular structure. tRNAs have two regions of fundamental functional importance: the anti-codon, which is responsible for specific mRNA codon recognition, and the 3' end, to which the tRNAs corresponding amino acid is attached (by aminoacyl-tRNA synthetases). tRNAs cope with the degeneracy of the genetic code in two manners: having more than one tRNA (with a specific anti-codon) for a particular amino acid; and 'wobble' base-pairing, i.e. permitting non-standard base-pairing at the 3rd anti-codon position. The record is from Rfam by way of RNAcentral. Lineage: Eukaryota; Metazoa; Chordata; Mammalia; Rodentia; Muridae.